Molecule: unclassified non-coding RNA, 566 nt
Filed under: Triodia scintillans
Lineage: Eukaryota; Viridiplantae; Streptophyta; Magnoliopsida; Poales; Poaceae
Description: partial external transcribed spacer
Source: RNAcentral
UCGCAUCAUCCCAAUGCCGGAAKAGGUGGUCGUGCUGUGACAACCGGCYUGAGAACGAAAAUUGUUGGAUACAGAAUCACGGUGUGCCCACCGUGUCACCGGCGAGAAGCAGUCUGGCGGCCGAAAGGCUGCUGGUUCUUCCACGUCGUUGGCGUAUGGGUGCAAACAAUAUGGGAUAUAUAGUGCCUGUUCUCGCGCUCUGUGGACUUUCGGUCGUCGUCCUCAUAGCAGACCCGUUGUGCUAAGCACGAUGGGAUGCUCGGGCUUCUUGACCGUUGUGGCUACGCUGGCGCAUGAGAUGUUGUGGACAUGUGGCUGCCUGGAGGCCCCCCGUCGUUGUGCGGCCGACUCCAGGUGCAGUGUCCUUUCAAUUGUAUGGGUUUCAAAACCUGUGUCGUUGACGAGUGCUUGCGUUCUGCUACCCGUUCUGCGGGAAGUAGAGCUUCGUACAACUUGCCUUCGUCGCGUGCGCCCUUUGGGCGUGUCGCGUCGAUCACCUAGCGCUUGCGGUGUUGCCUCGCGGCGUCAGCCAUCUAGGCCGGCAUCGUCUAGGACACCUCGCAAUC